AAAACUAAUGUACGUGUAUCGGCAUAAAUGAAGGUACGAGUAUGUACCCGAUACUGAUACGGGUACGUACCCGGUACUGGUACUCUACCUCAAAUGGAGUACCCAUACAUCAUACUAUGUUCCUUUGUAUAUUUUUUUGUUUGUUUUGUAUGCAUUGGGAGGGCUCAACCUCAUUGUACUCCCUUCUUGUGUUAUCCCUUUUUUCUAUCUAGAAGACAAAUUUGGACUUGUCAUUCUGCAUCUUUUGAAAUAGCUAUCAUCAUGGGUCCUUUCUACUGGUGUUUUGUAUCACAUAUGAAUCUCCAUAAUAUGCAUGAUCAAUAUCUUUAUUUUUAAAUAAAAUUGCUUGUAUAUGAAGAUGUUUAAUUUGUCCAUAUUUGGAACCACUCUUUGAUCUUUUUCUUCAUGAAAUUGUAGGAUGGAAGAAUUAGUUAUGAGGAAAUUACCAAUCGGAGUUUUAAACUGAUGAAGGAAAAUAUGAUCAAUGACCAAUUAUAUGUUUUGGAGACCCUACCCCAUUUCUGGGGUGAAAUAUGAUAUAAGUCUUGGCUGGCUAUUGUUGGAAGUCCCAAACUCAGUUUGUUUGUUGUACAUAAAGAUACACAUCCUUAUUUAGUGUCUACUGAGCCGUGAUGUACCAUGUAUGUGUGAUUUGCAUCAAAUCCUUCACCAUUCUGGUUUGUUGAGGGUAUCCGCAAAAAGGCGAGGAUGGAAGGAUUGUACAGGUCAUCAAAUUGUGUUGCUGUAAUUUGUAAAUAUUUCAAGUAUUCACAGCUACUACAAUGACUAAAUCAUUUGGCACUUUUUUUUCUUUCUUUUUCAUUUGGCACUUUUAGCCGAAUAUUUAUAUUUUUCUUGUGUUAAAUGAACCAGGGAUGACAUUUUUAGCCGUGUGAAAUUGAAUAACAAAUUGUAUGACUUCUGGAAUACAGAUUGUACUGCAUUUAUCAUUGUAAGAUCUUGGUUGGUGAUAAUAACUUAAGG
RNAcentral lists this long non-coding RNA (984 nucleotides) under Trifolium pratense (red clover). Its description in RNAcentral is "long non-coding RNA (TPRA_LNC014035)". Lineage: Eukaryota; Viridiplantae; Streptophyta; Magnoliopsida; Fabales; Fabaceae. The record is from RNAcentral.